Sphaerodactylus townsendi is the source of this 453-nucleotide long non-coding RNA. RefSeq lists it as uncharacterized. The transcript has 3 exons. Lineage: Eukaryota; Metazoa; Chordata; Lepidosauria; Squamata; Sphaerodactylidae. The record is from RefSeq and is a predicted model, not a curated record.
GAAAGUACAGCCUGGUGCUUUCCAGCACACACUGAUGAAUGUAUUUCUUGGAGUAAGCACAAUAGAAAACCUGUAUCAUAGAAGUUGAAGACCUAAACAUGGAGCAGGAAAGCAGCUGCGGUCGUUCAUCUGUAGGCCAGCAUGUCCCUCCUGCAAGGCUUCUGGUUGCUGUUGGACCUCAACCAGCUGGGGCUCUGCUGAAGCCGGGUCAUCCUGCCAGUACUCUUCCUCUGAGGAUUCCUCACUGGACCCAUGACUGAUAGGCAGCCCAGAUCCAGAUGCCUUGUGCUACCCAGCCAACCAUUUAAGAUUAAGUUCACAUGGGCCCAUUGUACAUGGAAUGCUUACCUCCAGGCUCUUCACUGUGCAGUUGGCUUGUAGUGGGCUCUCAUCAUGCUUUUCUGUUUACUCACAAGGAGGCAGCCCACAGCCUGCAGCAUAGAUCGUUGGCUG